UAGGGAAUAUUGCACAAUGGAGGAAACUCUGAUGCAGCGACGCCGCGUGAGUGAUGAAGGCCUUCGGGUCGUAAAGCUCUGUCGUAUGGGACUAACAAAAUGAAGGUACCAUGCAAGAAAGGAUCGGCUAACUUCGUGCCAGCAGCCGCGGUAAGACGAGGGAUCCUAGCGUUGUUCGGAAUUAUUGGGCGUAAAGCGGGUGUAGGCGGUCUUAUAAGUCAGGUGUGAAAUCCCAGGGCUCAACCCUGGAAGUGCACUUGAUACUGUAAGACUUGAGCGUGGUAGAGGCUAUUAGAAUUCCUGGUGUAGUGGUGAAAUACGUAGAUAUCAGGAGGAAUACCAAUUGCGAAGGCAGGUUACUACUAAUGGAUUGGCGGUGAUGGACGUAAGCGUGGGGAGCGAACA
This 405-nucleotide ribosomal RNA is filed under the name uncultured bacterium. RNAcentral describes it as "bacterial SSU rRNA". It matches the Rfam family "Bacterial small subunit ribosomal RNA", at positions 355 to 774 of the family's 1533-position model. The record is from RNAcentral.